RNAcentral lists this non-coding RNA (46 nucleotides) under Schistosoma bovis. RNAcentral also lists the same sequence under 1 other name. The record is from RNAcentral. Lineage: Eukaryota; Metazoa; Platyhelminthes; Trematoda; Strigeidida; Schistosomatidae.
GCACUGCUGAGGAGUCCCACAAUAGGACGAAACAGCUGUCUAUUGU